UCAAAUUUCAACCCAAUAACCUGUUAAACAUUGCUUUGGAUGAUGUGUAACUUUUUAAAACAUUUUAAAACAACCUGCCCUCAAAACCUCUUUCCUGCUGCUCACAUUUCAACAUAAUAUGCUCUUGCAGUUCUUGGUAAUGCUAUUUGGAAAUCGUCAUGGGUACAGGGUAUUAUUUAUGAAAUUUUGCACAUGUUUGUCUGCAUUUAUGUAAGUCAUGAUAUAAUAUGUGACAACAAAUCACAGUUUCAAGUGGCAGUCAUCAUUAAACAAGCACAUCAUAACAUAGUAGAUUCUUGCUAUGUGAACAUGCCCAAGUUUGUGUGCAACUACAUACUUGUUUCCUUCUGUGGAUGUG
Molecule: unclassified non-coding RNA, 358 nt
Filed under: Hevea brasiliensis (rubber tree)
Lineage: Eukaryota; Viridiplantae; Streptophyta; Magnoliopsida; Malpighiales; Euphorbiaceae
Source: RNAcentral